AGAACGAACGCUGGCGGCACGCCUAACACAUGCAAGUCGAGCGCCCAGCAAUGGGAGCGGCGGACGGGUGAGUAACACGUGGGAAUAUGCCUUUCGGUACGGAACAACUCAGGGAAACUUGAGCUAAUGCCGUAUACGCCCUUACGGGGAAAGAUUUAUCGCCGAAAGAUUAGCCCGCGUCUGAUUAGCUAGUUGGUGAGGUAAUGGCUCACCAAGGCUUCGAUCAGUAGCUGGUUUGAGAGAACGACCAGCCACACUGGGACUGAGACACGGCCCAGACUCCUACGGGAGGCAGCAGUGGGGAAUCUUGGACAAUGGGGGAAACCCUGAUCCAGCGAUGCCGCGUGAGUGAUGAAGGCCUUCGGGUUGUAAAACUCUUUCGACGGGGACGAUAAGUGACGGUACCCGUAGAGAAGCUCCGGCUAACUUCGCGCCAGCAGCCGC
RNAcentral lists this ribosomal RNA (444 nucleotides) under uncultured bacterium. RNAcentral's name for it is "SSU rRNA". It matches the Rfam family "Bacterial small subunit ribosomal RNA", at positions 26 to 518 of the family's 1533-position model. The record is from RNAcentral.